This 514-nucleotide ribosomal RNA is filed under the name uncultured bacterium. RNAcentral describes it as "partial 16S ribosomal RNA". It matches the Rfam family "Bacterial small subunit ribosomal RNA", at positions 28 to 523 of the family's 1533-position model. The record is from RNAcentral.
GAUGAACGCUGGCGGCGUGCCUAAUACAUGCAAGUCGAGCGAACAGACGAGAAGCUUGCUUCCCUGAUGUUAGCGGCGAACGGGUGAGUAACACGUGGGUAACCUACCUAUAAGACUGGGAUAACUCCGGGAAACCGGGGCUAAUACCGGAUAAUAUUUUGAACCGCAUGGUUCGAUAGUGAAAGACGGUUUCGGCUGUCACUUAUAGAUGGACCCGCGCCGUAUUAGCUAGUUGGUAAGGUAACGGCUUACCAAGGCGACGAUACGUAGCCGACCUGAGAGGGUGAUCGGCCACACUGGAACUGAGACACGGUCCAGACUCCUACGGGAGGCAGCAGUAGGGAAUCUUCCGCAAUGGGCGAAAGCCUGACGGAGCAACGCCGCGUGCGUGAUGAAGGUCUUCGGAUCGUAAAACUCUGUUGUUAGGGAAGAACAAAUUUGUUAGUAACUGAACAAGUCUUGACGGUACCUAACCAGAAAGCCACGGCUAACUACGUGCCAGCCGCCGCCGUAA